UCUAAAAAUUAGUAGAAAUCAGAGCCCAAGUAAUAACUCAGUCUUGAGAAUAGUUACCUUUAUUCUCUUUCCUUGGAAAACUAAGACCUGUGCUAUUACUAACAUCCAUCCCCUUUUACAUUUAAUUUCUUGCUUAACUAACAAAUAUCAUACACAAAUUUACUGAUACACUUCUUCCCUAAUAACUCAUGCCUCUUAAGUGGAAUUUGAAGAGCUACAAGCUUCUUCAAUGACAUUCGCAACAAUUAUAAUAGUGUUAUUCAUGGUGGUUCUGGAAUUCAAUUAAUGUGAAGCGCAAUUUGAUGUUGCAACCAAUUUCAACUCGUUUUCAGGUUAAGCGCAAUUUGAUGCUUCAACCAAUUUCAACUCGUUUUCAGUUUGCUGAUACGUGAAUCUCGUUUCAAUUUGUUGCACAAAGCCUAUUCUACUGAAGUUGGUGAAGACGAUGUUGCUAGUGACUGCUUUGUUUUUGGUGAUGUUGUUUUUGUUGCUGCUGAGCCAUUAUAACAUCUAAUUAUUAUUAAGUUUUAUUCACUUGUUCGUUUUUGGAAAUUAGGCCUUGCUUAUAAACUGUUUGAUGAAAUGUCCAAAAGAGCUGGAUUUUGGAUUUACCAAAUUCAAAUAAGUUACCAAAUUUUCUUCAUUCCAAGUGAGUAUUCCCUGGAUUAUUUCAUAAUUAAGGCUAUAAAAUGGAGUUAAGUAUAACGAAAAAAGUGCAGUUGAGGAGUUCAGGGUUGAAGACAAAGCGAUGUCUAGAUUGUCUGGUAACUUUAAAAUUCUAGUCUUUCUACUUAACCUAAAUCUACCUCUGAAUUUGAUUGAUUCGAGUCCAGCUAUUUUUUAGGGUUUUGUGUAUGAGUUAAGUAACGAUUUUUCUAUGGUUGAUUUACUUUGUUGCUUUCAUUUAUAUAAUGAAACUUUGUGGCACAAUAAACUUUGCAUUAAUAAUUGAUCCUUUGUGGUGGGUUUGUUUAAUUGGCCUAUUAAGACGAGA
Amaranthus tricolor (Joseph's coat) is the source of this 994-nucleotide long non-coding RNA. RefSeq lists it as uncharacterized. The record is from RefSeq and is a predicted model, not a curated record. NCBI's taxonomy places the organism in Eukaryota, Viridiplantae, Streptophyta, Magnoliopsida, Caryophyllales, Amaranthaceae. The transcript has 4 exons.